Molecule: ribosomal RNA, 339 nt
Filed under: uncultured bacterium
Lineage: Bacteria
Description: bacterial SSU rRNA
Rfam family: Bacterial small subunit ribosomal RNA
Source: RNAcentral
GUGAGUAGUUCAGAGUUUGAUCCUGGCUCAGGACGAACGCUGGCGGCGUGCCUAACACAUGCAAGUCGAACGGGGUAGAGAGCUUCGGUUUUCUACUUAGUGGCGAACGGGUGAGUAACGCGUGAGGAACCUGCCUUUCAGUGGGGGACAACAGUUGGAAACGACUGCUAAUACCGCAUGAUACUUUUGGGGGACAUCCCCCGGAAGUCAAAGCUUUAUGUGCUGAAAGAUGGCCUCGCGUCUGAUUAGCUAGUUGGCGGGGUAACGGCCCACCAAGGCGACGAUCAGUAGCCGGUCUGAGAGGAUGAACGGCCACAUUGGGACUGAGAUACGGCCCAG